RNAcentral lists this ribosomal RNA (253 nucleotides) under uncultured bacterium. Its description in RNAcentral is "partial 16S ribosomal RNA". It matches the Rfam family "Bacterial small subunit ribosomal RNA", at positions 524 to 776 of the family's 1533-position model. The record is from RNAcentral.
CACGUAGGGCGCAAGCGUUGUCCGGAAUUAUUGGGCGUAAAGGGCUCGUAGGCGGCCAACUAAGUCGGAUGUGAAAUCCCCAGGCUUAACCUGGGAACUGCAUCCGAUACUGGAUGGCUUGAAUUCGAGAGAGGGAUGCAGAAUUCCAGGUGUAGCGGUGAAAUGCGUAGAUAUCUGGAGGAAUACCGGUGGCGAAGACGGCAUCCUGGACCGAGAUUGACGCUGAUGAGCGAAAGCGUGGGGAGCAAACAGG